AGAAUCAACGCUGGCGGCGUGCCUAACACAUGCAAGUCGCACGAGAAAGGGGAGCAAUCCCUGAGUAAAGUGGCGCACGGGUGAGUAACACGUGAAUGAUCUACCUCCGAGUGGGGAAUAACCAAAAGAAAUUUUGGCUAAUACCGCAUAACACUUACGAGUCAAAGCAGCAAUGCGCUUGGAGAGGAGUUCGCGGCAGAUUAGCUAGUUGGCGGGGUAAUGGCCCACCAAGGCGAUGAUCUGUAUCCGGCCUGAGAGAGCGCACGGACACACUGGAACUGAAACACGGUCCAGACUCCUACGGGAGGCAGCAGUGGGGAAUUUUGCGCAAUGGGGGAAACCCUGACGCAGCAACGCCGCGUGGAGGAUGAAGCCCCUUGGGGUGUAAACUCCUUUCGAUCGGGAAGAUAAGUGACGGUACCGAUAUAAGAAGCCCGGCUACUUCGCGCCAGCAGCCGC
RNAcentral lists this ribosomal RNA (459 nucleotides) under uncultured bacterium. Its description in RNAcentral is "SSU rRNA". It matches the Rfam family "Bacterial small subunit ribosomal RNA", at positions 26 to 518 of the family's 1533-position model. The record is from RNAcentral.